GACGUAGGGUCCAAGCGUUGUUCGGAUUUACUGGGCGUAAAGAGCGCGUAGGCGGUCUGUUAAGUGUAGAGUGAAAUCUCCAGGGCUCAACCCGGAAACUGCUCUGCAUACUGGCAGACUGGAGUGAUGCAGAGGUUUGUGGAAUUCCUGGUGUAACGGUGAAAUGUGUUGAUAUCAGGAGGAACACCCAUGGCGAAGGCAGCAAACUGGGCAUUAACUGACGCUGAGGCGCGAAAGCGUGGGUAGCAAACAGG
This 254-nucleotide ribosomal RNA is filed under the name uncultured bacterium. RNAcentral's name for it is "partial 16S ribosomal RNA". It matches the Rfam family "Bacterial small subunit ribosomal RNA", at positions 524 to 776 of the family's 1533-position model. The record is from RNAcentral.